UGCCCCCAAGAACUGGACUGCCAGAAGAGCAGAGAGCACCCAGGCAGCUGAUGCCAGUCUUCCUUCUAGACAAGUGGGGGCAGCAGAGAGCCAGCUUGCAGGAACCAGUCAAGGAGGCCUUUCAGGGCCAUUCUCAAGCAAACGGCUCCAGAAGAUAUGAGACCAAGAGACUGGGCUGACAAGGCAGAAUUCUCAACAACUAGAACACCAAAAAGGAGCAGAAUGAACUGAGUGGUGUAACUCUUCUGCCUCAUGUGUGAAACAUGCCUUAUCCAAAGAUGGGCAGUGGGAAGACAGAGCCAACAGCCUAGGUGCGGAAGACUACUCGGUCAUCGGGGGCAACAAAGUCCACUGUACUCAGCACCUCUGCAAGAAAACACAAACACAUGGGGCCACCCAAUGAAGAAGCAAGUUCAACCUAGCCUAUUCCCUGGAAGAAAAUACAGCAAAAAUAUCACUUUGAAGAGGACAAAGGGAUGCUGGAAGUAUACGAUUCUUAAAGGAAAUCAAUGUGCCCAUGGAGGCUUCUGAGAUGCUAAUGAUGGUCCCUUCUUUGACCUGAUGAUGCUUAGUUACAUGGUUGAUUGCUUUACACUGUAAAGUGUUUGUUACACUGUACAUGCUUGUGGUUUUCUGCUUUAUGCACUUACAUGGUGUAGUGUUUACAUUUCACAAUUUUUAAAACCCUGAAAACAAAAGUUCAUACAAGAACCCUUGUCUAUGUUUCAGAUUUGGCCCAAAUUUUCCAAGAUGCCACUCUGAAGUUCAAUAAAGUUGCUCUUUUUUUAAUUUUA
This is a long non-coding RNA of Suricata suricatta (meerkat), 794 nucleotides long. RefSeq lists it as uncharacterized. The transcript is spliced from 3 exons. NCBI's taxonomy places the organism in Eukaryota, Metazoa, Chordata, Mammalia, Carnivora, Herpestidae. The record is from RefSeq and is a predicted model, not a curated record.